GUGAGCGCCGCCCCUGUGCACCGUGCACGC
RNAcentral lists this small RNA (30 nucleotides) under Bombyx mori (domestic silkworm). RNAcentral's name for it is "ovarian small RNA-17845". Lineage: Eukaryota; Metazoa; Arthropoda; Insecta; Lepidoptera; Bombycidae. The record is from RNAcentral.